RNAcentral lists this ribosomal RNA (952 nucleotides) under Leuconostoc carnosum. RNAcentral's name for it is "bacterial SSU rRNA". It matches the Rfam family "Bacterial small subunit ribosomal RNA", at positions 45 to 983 of the family's 1533-position model. Lineage: Bacteria; Bacillati; Bacillota; Bacilli; Lactobacillales; Lactobacillaceae. The record is from RNAcentral.
UGCUAUACAUGCAGUCGAACGCACAGCGAAAGGUGCUUGCACCUUUCAAGUGAGUGGCGAACGGGUGAGUAACACGUGGACAACCUGCCUCAAGGCUGGGGAUAACAUUUGGAAACAGAUGCUAAUACCGAAUAAAACUUAGUAUCGCAUGAUACCAGGUUAAAAGGCGCUACGGCGUCACCUAGAGAUGGAUCCGCGGUGCAUUAGUUAGUUGGUGGGGUAAAGGCCUACCAAGACAAUGAUGCAUAGCCGAGUUGAGAGACUGAUCGGCCACAUUGGGACUGAGACACGGCCCAAACUCCUACGGGAGGCUGCAGUAGGGAAUCUUCCACAAUGGGCGAAAGCCUGAUGGAGCAACGCCGCGUGUGUGAUGAAGGCUUUCGGGUCGUAAAGCACUGUUGUAUGGGAAGAAAAGUUAAGGUAGGGAAUGACCUUAGCCUGACGGUACCAUACCAGAAAGGGACGGCUAAAUACGUGCCAGCAGCCGCGGUAAUACGUAUGUCCCGAGCGUUAUCCGGAUUUAUUGGGCGUAAAGCGAGCGCAGACGGUUGGUUAAGUCUGAUGUGAAAGCCCGGAGCUCAACUCCGGAAAGGCAUUGGAAACUGGUUAACUUGAGUGCAGUAGAGGUAAGUGGAACUCCAUGUGUAGCGGUGGAAUGCGUAGAUAUAUGGAAGAACACCAGCGGCGAAGGCGGCUUACUGGACUGUAACUGACGUUGAGGCUCGAAAGUGUGGGUAGCAAACAGGAUUAGAUACCCUGGUAGUCCACACCGUAAACGAUGAACACUAGGUGUUAGGAGGUUUCCGCCUCUUAGUGCCGAAGCUAACGCAUUAAGUGUUCCGCCUGGGGAGUACGACCGCAAGGUUGAAACUCAAAGGAAUUGACGGGGACCCGCACAAGCGGUGGAGCAUGUGGUUUAAUUCGAAGCAACGCGAGACCUUACCAGGUCUUG